GCGUUGGGUACCCUCGGAGCGGCGAGCCAAGGCCAGGGUGCUGGACGUGGCCGCCGGGACGGGCUGCGUGGGCCGCGAACUCCACCGGGAAGGCUUCAGGCACAUAGACGCUGUGGACCCGUCGGAGGGCAUGAUGAAGCAGCGGGAGACUGGCAUCUAUACCAACGACUUCCUGGAGUUUAUCGGCAGCGGACACUCCACCGUGCCCAAAGGAGGCUUCGUGAUCAUCGUGAUGCGCCAUGAGUUCCUACAGACCGUGCCUUCCUACAAGGACAAGCUGGAGCCUUACAUGGACCAGCU
This is a long non-coding RNA of Eriocheir sinensis (Chinese mitten crab), 300 nucleotides long. RefSeq lists it as uncharacterized. Lineage: Eukaryota; Metazoa; Arthropoda; Malacostraca; Decapoda; Varunidae. The record is from RefSeq and is a predicted model, not a curated record. The transcript is spliced from 3 exons.